This 77-nucleotide non-coding RNA is filed under the name Alkalibacterium olivapovliticus. Lineage: Bacteria; Bacillati; Bacillota; Bacilli; Lactobacillales; Carnobacteriaceae. The record is from RNAcentral. RNAcentral also lists the same sequence under 3 other names.
AACCGCCGUAUACGGAACCGUACGUACGGUGGUGUGAGAGGACGAUAAAUGAAUUAAUCAUUUAUCUCCUACUCGAU